RNAcentral lists this ribosomal RNA (775 nucleotides) under uncultured bacterium. Its description in RNAcentral is "bacterial SSU rRNA". It matches the Rfam family "Bacterial small subunit ribosomal RNA", at positions 53 to 828 of the family's 1533-position model. The record is from RNAcentral.
GCAUGCGAGUCGAGCGAGAACCCGCAAGGGGGACAGCGGCAAACGGGGUAGGAAUGGUCGGUAACGUACCCUUCGGACGGGGAUAGCCACGGGAAACUGUGGGUAAUACUCGAUAAACUCCUUGGACGUAACGGCUUAGGGAGCAAAGGUGAGAUUCCACCGGAGGAGCGGCUGACUUAGUAUUAGCUAGUUGGUGAGGUAAAAGCUUACCAAGGCAUCGAUGCUUAGGGGGUGUGAGAGCAUGGCCCCCACCACUGGGACUGAGAUACUGCCCAGACACCUACGGGUGGUUGCAGUCGAGAAUCUUCGGCAAUGGGCGAAAGCCUGACCGAGCGACGCCGCGUGUGGGAUGAAGGCCCUUGGGUUGUAAACCACUGUCAGGGGGGAUGAAAUGCGCGGGGGUACUCCCCUGCGUUUGACGGAGCCCCAGAGGAAGCACGGGCUAAGUUCGUGCCAGCAGCCGCGGUAAUACGAACUGUGCAAACGUUAUUCGGAAUCACUGGGCUUAAAGGGUGCGUAGGCGGCUUAUUAAGCAGGGUGUGAAAUCCCCCGGCUCAACCGGGGAAUAGCGCUCUGAACUGAUGAGCUUGAGUGAGGCAGGGGUGCGCGGAACUUCCAGUGGAGCGGUGAAAUGUGUUGAUAUUGGAAGGAACACCGGAGGCGAAAGCGGCGCACUGGGUCUUGUCUGACGCUGAGGCACGAAAGNCAGGGGAGCAAACGGGAUUAGAUACCCCCGGUAGUCCUGGCCGUAAACGAUGAGUACUAGUGGGGGAGG